Long non-coding RNA from Ananas comosus (pineapple), 111 nucleotides. RefSeq lists it as uncharacterized. The transcript has 3 exons. NCBI's taxonomy places the organism in Eukaryota, Viridiplantae, Streptophyta, Magnoliopsida, Poales, Bromeliaceae. The record is from RefSeq and is a predicted model, not a curated record.
CUCUUGGAGACUUAUUUUGAGCAGGGUUGGAGCCGACUUUUUUCGACUUCUUGUGAUUAUUGGGAGCAUAGUACUAGAGCCAUCUACAGGAGAGGCUAGGGAUCGUGGCAA